RNAcentral lists this long non-coding RNA (5216 nucleotides) under Brachypodium distachyon (stiff brome). RNAcentral describes it as "long non-coding RNA (BDIS_LNC003764)". Lineage: Eukaryota; Viridiplantae; Streptophyta; Magnoliopsida; Poales; Poaceae. The record is from RNAcentral.
GGCGGCGAUGCCCGUGGCGUAGCCGCCCGAGCAGAAGAUCAUUGGCUCGUUGAAGGUGUUCCAGAGCUUGAUUCGGUCCCCGAAUAGCCCGAACACCAGGUCCGCGUACUCCACGUAGUCCUUGCUGCACAUGCCAACCGAUUAACGUGUUGCUACAUGAGCUCUCUGUUCUGUUCUGAUCUCCAUUUUUUGCCGGGAACCGUGGAAUUAAGGAAGAGCAUUGGUGGCCUUACAUGAUCUUGUCGCUGAGGAAGCUCCCGUACUUGUCCUCCAGGGCCUGCGGGGUGUCGAAGUGGAAGAUGGUCACGAACGGGACCAGCCCUGCAGCCAGGCAAGGAUCAACAUUUGUCAGAGACAGUAAUUUCUAAUUUUCCUCGCCUGACAAGUGCCAUUAACUGGACUGAAAGCUUAUCACAGCACCUCUGGAGAGAACUUCCUUGAUGAGGCUGUUGUAGAAAUCGACACCUUUCUGGUUUAUACCUCCGGCAAUGGUUCCAGCUGCAGCAAGCACCUCCCGGUCAGACAAAGAACUCAAACAGCGUAGUCUCCAUGCGCUGCUGACACAAAAACACUUACUUGGAAGGAUCCUGCUCCAGGCGAUGGAGAACCGGAAGGUGUCCAUGUUCAUGUCGGUGAUCAGCUGCAGAUCUUCCUGCGCUCACACCACAAAUCCACCGUGAGAUCAAUCAGUCCAAAUUAGUAGCAUAUGAUUGAUUAACGGGCACACUGAAUAAUUAAUUUGUUGUGACACCAUGAUGAUUCAAUCGACCAGGCAAAAGAGCCGCACCUUGUAGCGAUGGUAGAAGUCGUUCGCUAUAUCUGUGGUGCCGUUGUCCGCGGUUUUACCUGCAGCCAGAAUGUUUUUUUGAUCCACCGUCAGUGAAUUUCUUCAUCGGUGGCCAUUUCCCCCAUCCAGGACAAGAAAAAGUUUUUUUUUUAAGAAAGAAAGAGAUCUGACUGUUGUUCUUUGGGUGACGUCAACGGUGGACAAGAUUUCAUCCUGGCUGUUAAGAUGUCACUGUUUCUAAGUUCUAGCUAUUGCUACUUAUGAGGCUUACCAACCUCUUUCCAUGUACAGUAUUUUAGCAUCUAGAGAUUGGUUCCUGACACAGAGAUCCCUUUUUGUUUCUCAAACCAUGGAGACAGAGAGCGAAUUACUUAAAGAGACAGAGCUUACCUGGGGUGUGGCUGAAGGUGUCCCAAGUGGUCUUGCCCCGUUCGAAGGCUCCCUCAUACUGCAAUGCAGGUCAGAAAUGCAGGAUGCUAGUCAGAUUCAAGUCUGAACUCGGUAAUAGAAUUAUAGAAACCAGCAUAUACCAAAUGGGUGUAGCUAUCUAUUUGCAGAUAAUGGAGCAAUGCCAUGCAUGGUAGUACUAGUAGUACCUGGAUGGCCGAGGAGCCGGUGCCGAAGAUGAAGUCCUUGGGGAAGCUGUACCUGCUGAAGGUGGCGCCAUGGAUGCCGCCGCUGCAGGCUAGCAGCAGAGCGGCGAGCAGGAGGGCGGGGAGAAGAAGAACCCUGUCCAUCCCAGCACUGACACUCAUUCCCAGGUCGAGCCUGGAUUGGAUGGUUCUUCUCUCGAACCCCGGCUUGCUGUGACUCUGCUUUGCUCAGUGCUCACCCCUGCAGGUAUUUUAUACAGGCGAGCUAGGAGCAGAGGAGCAGCAGCUGACCAGAUGCUGGGGCCUGGGAGUGAUAGCUCCACGUUAGCGAAUCCUGUCCUCUGAAAGACCAUUAUAAUCACUAGUAAACUGGCCGGGAUGACAGGGCUCUAAAUAAUCCCUUGUCUGCAUGAUUGGAUGGUCGAUGCAGAGUGAGAGACAAGAUCCAUACAUAUAACGAGAGAAUGAAUGGAGCAAAGUCAAUUCGUCCGUCCCUGAUUCAGGAAUAUCAUACUGGAGCAUGUGAUACGCGCCCGCCGUUUCUUUAUACGAGAAAUGUACUUGAUCGGCCGUUAGGAGGUUCAGGUUCCAGUACUUCCUUCCAUACAUUCCCGUUGCGUGUGCUGGGAUUAGCGGCAUGAUCCAAUGAACAAUGAUGCAACUGGAAAUAUGAUACGUUCUGCAGUCUCUGCAACUGGAAAUUGAAGAAAAUGAAAAUGAAAUCCUUAUUCGGAAACCAAUGGGGACGUUCCCGUAGACAUACGUAGAGAUCUCAAGGUGGACCUAACACACUACGAGAGGGCCUAUUCACCUAUACCAACUACUUUGGUGUAGUUGAUUAGUCCCUUUUUUAUUUCUACUUACUUAGUGCAAACUUCCGGGCGGCAGAGCCACUCACGCUAAAGCAAGUCUUGAAUCCGGGCGGCUAUGCCACUCACGUUGAAACAAGACCGUUGUGAUUCCGGGCGAAUCCGCUCACGUUAAAUCACAACUUAUAUGCACUAAGUACUUAGAAAUAACAAGGCCUAACCGGGAGACUUAUAUGAACAAAGUAGUACUAUAUUGCUUUAGAAAUAUUAGUACAAGAGAAAACAUACACACUUUACACUUGCUCACACCUUGUUCUCCACCUUCUUCACUUCCUUAUUCUCUAUUACUUAAGGUGUGAGGCAAGGGCCUCUAUUUAUAAGACUACAUGGCCAUUGAAUCUUUGACAUGUGUCAAGAUUUUAGCCAUUGAUACAAAAUAUCUAAAACCUUCCACACACUUCUACACAAAUAUUUAGGUACUAGAAGGUUUCCUAUUUAUUUAUUUUAAACUCCUAUUCUAGAGUAUUCAAAAACUUUUACAUAAUUCUUCAUGCAUAUCUAAACACCAAAAAGUUUCUUUUUUUAUUUAUUUUAUAUUCUAGAGUAUUCCAUAGUAAUGUUUUUUUUCUUGUAAUAUGAGAACUGUAUUCUCCAACAUAUUUUGAUGUGGACGUCUGGGAGGACCAGAAAGGUAGUAAGAUCACGGCUGGGUUGUUCGCCGGUGACCAUCAGUCGGGAUUUCGAAACGGGUCUCAUCGGUGUCUCAUUAUUCUCCAAUUUCUGGGUCGAUCGAUCAGAUCGUUAAUUCCAACCUUUGACUGCAUGGACCAGACCAGCGAGCAUUGAACAUCGGUGGUUUCCUCGUCAUCCAUCAAAGACAGUACGAUGUGUUUUUAACCGAUGCAGAUGAUGGGAGAGAGGUUUUGAAACUGAGCGUCAAGCUGCAGGCCACGUAGUCACGGAUACUGUCGGGGAUUUUUCUAUGCGCCGCGUUAUUCACAAGGGAACGCUAGCGCGCGUGCUUUUAUUGCCAGCCCCAGGCUCAUGUAGGAGUACUUUUUUUUUUGUUUCUGAAAGUGAGUGUCUGACUACAGUUAUCAUCCCGGCCACGUGCAAUGUUGCCAAGAUCUGGAUUGUAGGCAUGAUGAUUUCCGUGCCGGCAGGACGGGACGGUACAACAGGGGAAAAUCGUACUGCAUCAGGAUGAUCAAUCAGGAUCAGAAUCGAAAAUGAGUAAAGGGUUGAUUUGGACAUAUAUGCAGCUGGGGAACGAUAAGACAGGGUCCACGGCGACAUUCAUGCAUGGCAGCGACGUCGAUCGAACAGCCUGGCUGUGGCCGGGCCUAUACGCACGCACGCGCGUCCCGACGAUGCCAGGGCCAGAGCAGGUGAAUAAUUCGGACAGGAUAUAUUUUCCGUCCAAGAAGAAGAAAAAAAAGCUGUGAAAGCGACGACGACUGACAUAAUUAAGGCUCGUAAUUACGUACACACAUACAUAUUUGUCACACAAAACAAGCUAGACCCGCUCGAUCGAUCGAGCUUAUUUCAUUUGCUGCGACGACGACAGCUUAUACGUACAUGCAUAUAUAUGUAUAUACCGUACGUGGCUCGAGCAGAAUUCUGGUCAUUUCUUGAGGAAACCUUCGAGCCAGUAGCUGGACCUCUUGCGGUAGCGCUUGAGCGUGUCGCGGUCGACGUAGAUGAGGCCGAAGCGGUCCUUGAACCCGUCCCCGAACUCGAAGCAGUCUUGGAACGUCCACGUGAAGUAGCCCUUCACGUUCACGCCCUCCCUGCAUGCACCCAAAAGGAAUUGGGGGUAUUAAAAUCGAACGAAGUAGAUGCAGUAAAUGUGCGCGUGCGCGUGCACGAGACGUACUGGAUGGCCUUGUGCACGAACUUGAGGUGGUUGUAGUGGAACAUGAUCCGGGUCUCGUCCUUGAGCGCCUCCUCGAUCGGGAUCGUGCUGUUGUUCGCCUCGUCAGUCCCUGCCAAAUAAAACCCCCAAAUUUUGACAUCCAUGUGAAUUGUGAUGAAGUGAAAGAGCCUAAAUGGAAUCUGAUGAGAGUUUAUUACCGUUCUCGGUGAUGUAUAUGGCGGGGUUGUUGUAUCUCUUCUUGGCGUACAGCAGCAGCUCCCGCAGCCCCGGCGGGUAGUUGUAGAAGAUCGGCGUGUACGCCUGACAACCAAACAAACAUAACAUUCACACACCGUAUAUAUCCAGGUGCCAUAUCCACAACAGGAAACCUGAAUCUCAACACACGAAUUCGCCAUCACAGGAUAGAAGGAAGAUGUACCGGUGGGCCGAUGGGGACGCCGUCGCGGAAACCAGUCUGGUUAACCCGAUUAUCCGUCCCAUAAGACGGCUUCUCAAGCUUAUUAGGCGCCGGAGCAGCCUUGGCAUAAUUACUCGUGUAAUAAUUCAGCCCGAUAAAAUCAAAACUCCCCUUGAGCAACUCCUUCUGCUCCGUGGUGAACUCCGGCAGCCUCGCCCCGACCAGCCGCCGCAUCGUGCCCGGGUACUCCCCGUACACGAUGGGGUGCAUGAACCACCCGAACAUGAAGUCUAACGCGCGUUUCUGUGCGUGGAGAUCGGCGUCUGAGCUCGGGUCGUAGGGCACGAACCAGUGGGAGACCUGGGUGAUCCCGAUCUGGCCCUGCUGGGAUUGCUGGUACUUUGUUCGGUAGAGCUUCACGGCUUGAGCGUGGGCUAGGAGGAGAGUGUGUGCCGCCGUGUAAGGCUCUGUCCCGGAGUCUCCGGCGGCGCAGGAGGAGGCGUCGGAGCAGCGGCCUGGCGCCAUGAUGCCCGUGCCGUAGCCGUUCAUGCAGAAGACGGUCGGCUCGUUGAACGUGUUCCAGAGCUUUACUCUGUCGCCGAAUAGACUGAAGCACAGGUCCGCGUACUCCACGUAGUCCUUCCUGCAUCCAUGGACAUAUGUACGUGCUCCGUGUUAUCGAUCGAUUUUACGGAUUCAUGAUUCAUCAGUGAGCAUUUUUACGUGUGUUUCGAUCGUAUAUGUUGUUUACACG